This 415-nucleotide ribosomal RNA is filed under the name uncultured bacterium. RNAcentral describes it as "bacterial SSU rRNA". It matches the Rfam family "Bacterial small subunit ribosomal RNA", at positions 360 to 773 of the family's 1533-position model. The record is from RNAcentral.
AAUAUUGGACAAUGGGUGGAAGCCUGAUCCAGCCAUGCCGCGUGCAGGAAGAAGGCCUUCUGGGUUGUAAACUGCUUUUGCCAGGGGAUAAAAAAUCUGUGCGCAGAUAAUUGAAGGUACCUGGUGAAUCAGACCCGGCUAACUACGUGCCAGCAGCCGCGGUAAUACGUAGGGGUCGAGUGUUGUCCGGACUUACUGGGCGUAAAGCGUGGGUAGGUGGCUGGUGAUGUGCCGUGUGAAAGCGCCGCGCUUCUCGCGGCGAGGUCGCGGUAGACACACUAGCUAGAGGCACGGAGAGGGGCGUAGAAUUCCCGGUGUAGUGGUGAAAUGCGUAGAUAUCGGGAGGAAUACCAGUGGCGCAAGCGGCGCCCUGGCCGUGACCUGACACUGAGCCACGACGGCGUGGGGAGCAAAC